This 139-nucleotide small nuclear RNA is filed under the name Ochotona princeps (American pika). RNAcentral's name for it is "U4 spliceosomal RNA (ENSOPRG00000019766.1)". It matches the Rfam family "U4 spliceosomal RNA". From Rfam's summary of the family: U4 small nuclear RNA (U4 snRNA) is a component of the major U2-dependent spliceosome. The structure of U4 snRNA from yeast and human has been reported. Lineage: Eukaryota; Metazoa; Chordata; Mammalia; Lagomorpha; Ochotonidae. The record is from RNAcentral.
AGCUUUUCACAGUGGCAGUAUCGUAGCCAAUGAGGUUAAUCGGAGGUGUGAUUAUUGUUAAUUGUAAGCUUUUCCCAAUACCCCACCGUGACGACUUGAAAUAUAGUUGGCACUGGCAAUUAAAAAAAAUUUUUUAAAG